UUGAACGCUGGCGGCAGGCCUAACACAUGCAAGUCGAGCGGUAGCACAGAGAGGCUUGCUUCUUGGGUGACAAGCGGCGGACGGGUGAGUAACGCGUAGGAAUCUACCUAAUAGUGGGGGAUAGCCCAGGGAAACUUGGAUUAAUACCGCAUACGCCCUACGGGGAAAGCGGGGGGGGGAUCUUCGGACCUCGUGCUAUUAGAUGAGCCUGCGUAAGAUUAGCUAGUUGGUGAGGUAAAGGCUCACCAAGGCGGCGAUCUUUAGCUGGUCUGAGAGGAUGAUCAGCCACACUGGGACUGAGACACGGCCCAGACUCCUACGGGAGGCAGCAGUGGGGAAUAUUGGACAAUGGGGGCAACCCUGAUCCAGCCAUGCCGCGUGUGUGAAGAAGGCCUUCGGGUUGUAAAGCACUUUCAGAUGUGAGGAAAGGUUGCAGAUUAAUACUCUGCAGCUGUGACGUUAACAUCAGAAGAAGGACCGGCUAACUCCGUG
RNAcentral lists this ribosomal RNA (492 nucleotides) under uncultured bacterium. RNAcentral's name for it is "bacterial SSU rRNA". It matches the Rfam family "Bacterial small subunit ribosomal RNA", at positions 30 to 507 of the family's 1533-position model. The record is from RNAcentral.